CCGCUACCUACCGCGGCUCCUACAGCUCCAUGGGCCGCGGCCGGAGCAGCUCUGAGCGCUCCGUUCGCCCCACGGUGCCCUUAAAAGGCGCUGGCAAGAACCAACCGGCCUUUGAGGAGAGUAAGGGGAUCGCGUCUAUUCGCAGAAUCCCCCGGAACCUGCCGAAGAGGCCCGAGCCCUACGUGGUGUCUCCCUUAAUCUUUUUCAGAAUAGUGCCGUCGGAAAGGAGCCUAGAGCUGUGGUUUGGGGACCGGAGUGUCUCCUCACUAACUAAUCACCCCCUCCAAAAUAUCGUAGAAAGUGGACAGGCCCAGUUGGAAGCAUAUCACGAAGCCCGUAGGGGAAGCCAUGUCGGAUAAAGCCACCUUUCUGCAAGCAUCCCCCCACCUUCCCCCGGCAAGGACUGAUCCUCGGCGUGAAGGCUGCUGGGAAAUGUAGUCCAAGCGCCGGUCAAGGCCUGCUCUGAGUACCCGGAGCCCCUCUUCUAGCUGCCGGAUCUACUAUAGCUUUUAUAAACCUGAGAUUUAUAACGGUU
Molecule: non-coding RNA, 535 nt
Organism: Mus caroli (Ryukyu mouse)
Lineage: Eukaryota; Metazoa; Chordata; Mammalia; Rodentia; Muridae
Source: RefSeq, a predicted model, not a curated record